GGGGUUUGUGAGUGGGCUCCAGCCACACACGACUUCGUGCCUGUGACGUUGGCUCCUCCAUCCGCCUCUUUCCUGGAGUGCAGCCUGAGUCACAGCUCGAAACUUCUCCCACCUUCUCCGGGUGGAGGGGGCUUCCCCAGUCUUGGGGUGCGCACCUCAGGCAACGACCCAUCCCUCACUCCCCUGUGCUGGGACUGCAUGGGAAGGUAAGCAACUAAGUGCUGCAAACAGUGUAGGGGCUGUCAGAGCUGGAGCUUCCCUCCAACCCUCCCAGGGUUCUGAGGGUUCACAAGAGACAGCCCCACUGCUUCGCCCUUGAUCUUAGAGCCCAGAAUCUCCAUCACCCACUACUCUUUCCAACUUUUCUGUGUCCAGCCAUGCAGGACUUCCCAACCCAGUCUCCAAACAUCUGCUUUCUUGUUCCAAGCUUUUGUGGACACCAUUUCCUCUUGCUUUAUUCCUCUGGAAAUGGCUUUUGGGAAUGCUUCCUCCUCCAGCAGCCUCCUCCUUUUCUCUGUGCUCAGCCCUGCCCUGUGUCCCAGCCUCAUCUCCUGCCUUGCUGUAAACCUUGGGGCGGCCUCACUGUAUCUGCCUUGGAAGGGCUCUCCAGUAGAUUCUCUGGGCAGCAGACAGUUGGGUGUGACAGAUGCUGCUGCUAUUUGCCAAACCUGUUUUUCCUCUUCUUCCUGGCCACACAGCUGGACUACACUCCUCAGCCUCCCUUGAAGUUGCAGUGAACUUAUGAUGGUUUGUUCUAACCACCGUAAUGUGAGUAAAAGUUAUGUUAUGUGCACUUUCUAGGCUAAGACUUCCCCUUUCCCUUAAAAAAAAUCAAUGUUAUCAACACAGAAUUUACAUACAAUGAAAAGCACCCUUUGAAAAUGUACAACUUGUAUAUCCCCAAUACCAGCUUGAUGAAUACCACUACUAGCACAAUCAACCUAUUGAACAUUUCCGUGACCCCAAAGGGCUUUCUCUUGCUUCACUGUAAUAAAUCCCUCCCACCCACAGGUGACUGCCUGAUCCACUGUAUGUUAUCGUAGAUUAGAUUUGCACAUUCACGGAUUUCAUAUACAUAAAAUCAUACAACAUGAAGUGGUCUGGGCUGGCUACUUUCGCUUCACAUGUUUUAAAAUGCAUUCAUGUUGUUGUGUAUAUCUGUGGUUUUUACCUUUUUAGGCUGGGAUUACAGGCACCCGCCACCACGUCCAGCUAAUUUUUGUAUUUUUAGUAGAGAUGGGGUCUUGCCAUGUUGGCCAGGCUGGUCUUGAACUCCCGACCUCAGGCGAUCUGCUCACCUCAGCCUCCCAAAGUGCUGGGAUUACAGGCAUAAGCCAC
RNAcentral lists this long non-coding RNA (1338 nucleotides) under Homo sapiens (human). RNAcentral's name for it is "non-protein coding lnc-AIPL1-1:5". Lineage: Eukaryota; Metazoa; Chordata; Mammalia; Primates; Hominidae. The record is from RNAcentral.